GUAUAAUGUGGCCGCCUUGGUGCCCGCCCCCUGUUCGUGGGGGCAGUUAAACGGGAAACGCAAUGUGCUGCCCCCGCAACGGUACGCAAGCGCCGUCGUCAUGACGGCAGGCCGCGCCAAACAACCACUGCAUCAAUGAACACGCAGGAAGGUGGAACGGUCAGUCUUGCCAGCCCGGAUACCGGCCAGGGAGGUGGAAGCGCA
Molecule: non-coding RNA, 204 nt
Filed under: Duganella sp. Root198D2
Lineage: Bacteria; Pseudomonadati; Pseudomonadota; Betaproteobacteria; Burkholderiales; Oxalobacteraceae
Also listed under: 1 other name
Source: RNAcentral